GUUCGUUUCUGUGUGUAUUACAUUAUAACGUUGUGUCGUUUGUUUUCUCUUAUUUUUUAGUGUAAAUUCACAUUGCGAUAAGACGUGUCACGGUACUUGUCUAUCCCAAAUUCAUGUAUUUGGUUUUGAUGUUAUAUAUAUAUGUUAUAUUUGUUUUUCUCGUGGGAUUUUGUCUAUAUGUGUUACAUUUUAGUGUUAUGUCGUUGUUCUCCUCUUAUAUUUAAUGCGUUUCCCUCGGUUUUAGUUUGUUAUCCCGAUU
RNAcentral lists this long non-coding RNA (259 nucleotides) under Mytilus galloprovincialis (Mediterranean mussel). The record is from RNAcentral. Lineage: Eukaryota; Metazoa; Mollusca; Bivalvia; Mytilida; Mytilidae.